RNAcentral lists this long non-coding RNA (1680 nucleotides) under Equus caballus (horse). RNAcentral describes it as "lncRNA (ENSECAG00000030337.3)". Lineage: Eukaryota; Metazoa; Chordata; Mammalia; Perissodactyla; Equidae. The record is from RNAcentral.
CUGAUACAGCUGUCUAAGCAGAGAUGUCAAGUAGGCAGUUGGAUAAAUGGGUCUGAAAUUCAGAGGAGAAGUCCAAGCUGGAGAAAUUUGAGAGCCAUCAGCAUUGUAGUGGACACUGUCAGCACCUGCAUCUCUUCUCCAGAGAACUGUCCUGGGGCCACUGGAAAUGCUCUGCCCCCACCGACAGAGAACUAAAAACGCCUGGAAACGCACCUCCUCCAGGACCACCCUUGACCAAUGACUGACACGUGCAGGGUCGGGUGGAGAGGGGAAGCAGGACAGCCCAGCUCCCUUGUCUCAGGAAAACUCUGAGGCAUAACCGAAGCCCCACAGUUUCCCUACACCCAAGAUCGGGUUAAAACUACCCUCUACAAGAUGGCCUGAGAUUGUACUUCGCCUGGCUUUCUCCCUUCCCUGCUCUGUGUUUCCCUCUCCCUUACCAGUCCGGCCUGGGAGCACCUCCUUAGGAAGUCAUUAGCACGAAUCCUUGUCUCAGCGUCUGCUUCCGGGACCCCCCAACCUAAGACGAACACAUAGACGCUAUUUGAAGGCAUGAGUCUAGAAAAAAAAAGUACAAGGCAUUAUUAGAGUAAAAACUGGGGACUGGAUUAACAAGAAAGGCCUCUAGGAAGAAGAGGCCCCCAAGCUGAGCCUGGAAGAUAAAUAGAAUUAAACAGAGAGGGUGUGCAUUCCGGAUUGGGGCCAGGAAAAAGAUAUUUUCUUCAAACUCAAGCCCUGAAUGAUGUGAAAGCUGUGCUCUAGCCACAAGAACCGUUCCAGCAAGACCACGUGUGCUUUGCCCUCCCAGGCCGUUUUUUCUGAAUGUGGACUUUGUCCUUGUCUGAAGUUCUCCACCUGGAUGCCCUGUGCUCAUCUCUCAAGAUUCAGUUAAUGCCACUUGCUCUUUGAAGCUUUCGCUGACUGGAGGAAACCUUAGAUGCUCCCACCGCCCUGUGCCCUGUGCAUUCCUGGCUCAUGAUAGAGCUGUGCUUUAUGAAGACAACGCCAUCAGCAGAGUGUGUAAGAGGCGAAAGUGGGGAGAGACUGGAGGCAAAGAGGCCAGGUCACAGCCCUGUGUCAAAUGUCACCAGACAAUAUGAUUGUAACAAUGUCGCAGGCUUCAGGGAACUGUUUCAUAAGAAAUCUCCUAUGUGGUCGUGGAGCAAGGAACUUGUGGCUUCUUCUCCUCCUACCGUGUCUGCAUCGGUACCAGACAGAGUGUCACCUAUUGUGUCAUUUGAACUCCCUCAACAUCAUCUAUGGAUCCCUGGUGACACCGCUGUGAUGUGAGAUGAAGCGGGUUCAAGAGCAGAAGAAAAGACAGUAUUAUGAAGAGAAGUUACAGUGUCAAGAAGCUGACUCUAGAAUGUGAGGUGGAAAAUCAGGGACUUCAGAGUCAACAGGGCUGGGUUUAAACAUCAGCUUUACUGCUUACGAACAUUUGACCUUAAAUAACUUACUUAACCUCUAUGAGCCUUAGUUUCUGAAUCUAUGGAACAAGGACUAUAAUACAUGCCUCAUGAGACUAUCGAAAGGAUUAAAUGAGAUGAUACACCUGUAACGCUAACUGAAGCCACAAUCCAUGUCGUCCAGUUCCAGAGGAGGGCCAGAGACAAGGAAACAUGGAAAUCUGUAGCCUCAACGUCAUGGAAAAGCAAUUCCAAUUUUAUUCAAGUUUCU